CCUACGGGUGGCAGCAGUGGGGAAUAUUUGGCAAUGGAGGCAACUCUGACCCAGCAACGCCGCGUGAAUGAUGAAGGUCUUCGGAUUGUACAGUUCUGUGAUUCGGGCUGAAACCAAUGACAGUACCCCUCUAGCAAGCCACGCCUAACUACGUGCAAUGAGCCGCUGUAAUACGUAGGUUGCCAGCGUUAUCCGGAAUGCCUGGGCGUAAAGGGUUCUUAGGUGGGUUAGUAAGUUGACGGUUUAAUUCCGGGGCUCAACCUCGGGACUACCGCCAAAACUAUUAGCCUAGAGUGCAGGAGGGGUAAGUGGAAUUCGUAGUGUAGCGGUGGAAUGCGUAGAUAUUAGGAGGAACAUCAGGGGCGAAGGCGACUUACUGGACUGUAACUGACACUGAGGCACGAAAGCGUGGGGAGCAAACAGGAUUAGAUACCCGGGUAGUC
RNAcentral lists this ribosomal RNA (443 nucleotides) under uncultured bacterium. RNAcentral's name for it is "partial 16S ribosomal RNA". It matches the Rfam family "Bacterial small subunit ribosomal RNA", at positions 338 to 795 of the family's 1533-position model. The record is from RNAcentral.